This 323-nucleotide long non-coding RNA is filed under the name Solanum tuberosum (potato). RNAcentral's name for it is "long non-coding RNA (STUB_LNC004789)". Lineage: Eukaryota; Viridiplantae; Streptophyta; Magnoliopsida; Solanales; Solanaceae. The record is from RNAcentral.
UUUCAUCAAAGAAAGCGGAAGUAUUUCUAUACUUUGUCUCAAACAAUCUAAUACAACUUUAGAAUAAAACUCUUGGGACACAGCCCAUACAGUAGUCUCAACAUGAAAAUAAAAGACAUAAAGGAAAUGGUGGGUUUCGUCCUCGAAGCUAUGAGGACUCACCAAGAUCUUCAACUCCUUAGCUCCUUAGAAACCUAGCUCCAAGAAUAGCACUCAAGUCUCUAAACCCUACAUUUGAUUAGAAUGUAGGCAAAGUAUGCCUUAGUACAAAAUGUACUAAAUAUGUUAGCUAGCAUAAUCAUAAGAUAAUAAGACAAGGGUUA